UUUGGGAUAUGAUGAUAUCAUAGUUUAAUUGGCUAAGGCAUCAGCCGUGCUGAAUAUUAAUUUGCACGUCAGUCUGAUCCCAAA
Molecule: non-coding RNA, 84 nt
Organism: Punica granatum (pomegranate)
Lineage: Eukaryota; Viridiplantae; Streptophyta; Magnoliopsida; Myrtales; Lythraceae
Source: Rfam